This 72-nucleotide transfer RNA is filed under the name Bos taurus (domestic cattle). It matches the Rfam family "tRNA". Rfam says of the family: Transfer RNA (tRNA) molecules are approximately 80 nucleotides in length. Their secondary structure includes four short double-helical elements and three loops (D, anti-codon, and T loops). Further hydrogen bonds mediate the characteristic L-shaped molecular structure. tRNAs have two regions of fundamental functional importance: the anti-codon, which is responsible for specific mRNA codon recognition, and the 3' end, to which the tRNAs corresponding amino acid is attached (by aminoacyl-tRNA synthetases). tRNAs cope with the degeneracy of the genetic code in two manners: having more than one tRNA (with a specific anti-codon) for a particular amino acid; and 'wobble' base-pairing, i.e. permitting non-standard base-pairing at the 3rd anti-codon position. The record is from Rfam by way of RNAcentral. Lineage: Eukaryota; Metazoa; Chordata; Mammalia; Artiodactyla; Bovidae. RNAcentral also lists the same sequence under 5 other names.
UCCCUGAUGGCUCAGACAGUAAAGAAUCUGCUUCCAGUGCAGGAGGCCCAGGUUCAACCCCUGGGUUGGGAA